AGAGUUUGAUCCUGGCUCAGAAUGAACGCUGGCGGCGUGCUUAACACAUGCAAGUCGAGCGAGAAAGUCUUUGCUUGCAAAGACGAGUAGAGUGGCGCACGGGUGAGUAACACGUAGAUAAUCUACCUUCAAAACUGGAAUAACUAUUCGAAAGGAUAGCUAAUACCGGAUAAAGUUUUUUAACAUAAGUUAAAUUAUGAAAGAUUGCCUCUUCUUGAAAGCAAUUGUUUGGAGAUGAGUCUGCGGACCAUUAGUUUGUUGGUGGGGUAAAGGCCUACCAAGACUGUGAUGGUUAGCUGGUCUGAGAGGAUGAUCAGUCACACUGGAGCUGGAACACGGUCCAGACUCCUACGGGAGGCAGCAGUGAGGAAUUUUGCGCAAUGGGGGAAACCCUGACGCAGCAACGCCGCGUGAGUGAAGAAGGCCUUUGGGUCGUAAAGCUCUGUCAACUGGGAAGAAAUUGUACUUAUCCAAUAGGUAUGUACAUUGACGGUACCAGUGGGGGAAGCGCCGGCUAACUCCGUGCCAGCAGCCGCGGUAACACGGGGGGCGCAAGCGUUAUUCGGAAUUAUUGGGCGUAAAGGGCGCGUAGGCGGUCUUGUCGGUCAGAUGCG
Molecule: ribosomal RNA, 614 nt
Filed under: uncultured bacterium
Lineage: Bacteria
Description: bacterial SSU rRNA
Rfam family: Bacterial small subunit ribosomal RNA
Source: RNAcentral